This 433-nucleotide ribosomal RNA is filed under the name uncultured bacterium. RNAcentral's name for it is "bacterial SSU rRNA". It matches the Rfam family "Bacterial small subunit ribosomal RNA", at positions 958 to 1393 of the family's 1533-position model. The record is from RNAcentral.
AACGCGAAGAACCUUACCAAGGCUUGACAUAUAGAGGAAAAGUGCAGAAAUGCACUCCCCGCAAGGUCUCUAUACAGGUGGUGCAUGGUUGUCGUCAGCUCGUGUCGUGAGAUAUUGGGUUAAGUCCCGCAACGAGCGCAACCCUCGUCCUAUGUUGCCAGCACGUUAUGGUGGGAACUCAUGGGAUACUGCCGGGGUCAACUCGGAGGAAGGUGGGGAUGACGUCAAAUCAUCAUGCCCCUUAUGUCUUGGGCUUCACGCAUGCUACAAUGGCCGGUACAGAGGGCUGCAAUACCGUAAGGUGGAGCGAAUCCCAAAAAGCCGGUCUCAGUUCGGAUUGAGGUCUGCAACUCGACCUCAUGAAGUCGGAGUCGCUAGUAAUCGCGUAACAGCAUGACGCGGUGAAUACGUUCCCGGGUCUUGUACACACCGA